UCGGAGCGAAGCUUGCUCGCGAUGAACGAUAACGCGGUCUACUGGUGGACCGCAGCGUCCGAAUCGCGAGCAAGCUUCGCUCCUA
Molecule: unclassified non-coding RNA, 85 nt
Filed under: Pseudomonas chlororaphis
Lineage: Bacteria; Pseudomonadati; Pseudomonadota; Gammaproteobacteria; Pseudomonadales; Pseudomonadaceae
Source: RNAcentral